AAUGAACGCUGGCGGCAGGCCUAACACAUGCAAGUCGAACGGAUCCUUCGGGAUUAGUGGCGGACGGGUGAGUAACGCGUGGGAACAUACCCAAAGGUACGGAAUAGCCUCGGGAAACUGGGAGUAAUACCGUAUGUGCUCGAAAGAGGAAAGAUUUAUCGCCUUUGGAGUGGCCCGCGUUGGAUUAGGUAGUUGGUGGGGUAAUGGCCUACCAAGCCGACGAUCCAUAGCUGGUUUGAGAGGGUGAUCAGCCACACUGGGACUGAGACACGGCCCAGACUCCUACGGGAGGCAGCAGUGGGGAAUCUUAGACAAUGGGGGAAACCCUGAUCUAGCCAUGCCGCGUGAUCGAUGAAGGCCUUAGGGUUGUAAAGACCUUUCAGGUGGGAAGAUAAUGACUGUACCACCAGAAGAAGCCCCGGCUAACUCCGUGCCAGCCGCCGCCGUAA
Molecule: ribosomal RNA, 449 nt
Filed under: uncultured bacterium
Lineage: Bacteria
Description: partial 16S ribosomal RNA
Rfam family: Bacterial small subunit ribosomal RNA
Source: RNAcentral